Molecule: ribosomal RNA, 238 nt
Filed under: uncultured bacterium
Lineage: Bacteria
Description: partial 16S ribosomal RNA
Rfam family: Bacterial small subunit ribosomal RNA
Source: RNAcentral
GAUCAUGGCUCAGGAUGAACGCUAGCUACAGGCUUAACACAUGCAAGUCGAGGGGCAGCAUGAACUUAGCUUGCUAAGUUUGAUGGCGACCGGCGCACGGGUGAGUAACGCGUAUCCAACCUACCCUUGUCCAUCGGAUAACCCGUCGAAAGGCGGCCUAACACGAUAUGCGGUUCACCGCAGGCAUCUAACGUGAACGAAAUAGUGAAGGAGAAGGAUGGGGAGUGCGUCUGAUUAG